CCCCUAGAUGUUCUGGGCCGCACGCGCGCUACACUGAACAGUUCAACAAGUCUUAACCUUGGCCGAUAGGUCUGGGUAAUCUUUGAACGCUGUUCGUGAUUGGGAUAGACCUUUGCAAUUAUGGGUCUUCAACGAGGAAUUCCUAGUAAACGCAAGUCAUCAGCUUGCAUUGAUUACGUCCCUGCCCUUGUACACACCGCCCGUCGCACCUACCGAUUGAAUGGUCCGGUGAAAUCUCGGGACGGCGGCUUGGUCGCUUGCGUCCGACUGCUGAAACUUGAUUAAACCAUAUCAUUUAGAGGAAGGUGAAGUCGUANCA
This 319-nucleotide ribosomal RNA is filed under the name uncultured eukaryote. RNAcentral describes it as "partial 18S ribosomal RNA". It matches the Rfam family "Eukaryotic small subunit ribosomal RNA", at positions 1470 to 1796 of the family's 1831-position model. The record is from RNAcentral.